CCACACCUAAAACACUUUCCACGUGAACGUUUCAACCCAAUAGUUGGGGGUCUUAUUUGGCGGCGGCUGCUGGCUUAAUUGUUGGCGGCUGCUGCUGAGUGAGCCCUAUCAAAAAAAAAGGCGGACGUUUGGGCUUCGGCCUGAAUUAGUAAUCCUUUUUUCUUUUAAACCCAUUCCUUAAUACUGAAUAUACUGUGGGGACGAAAGUCUCUGCUUUUAACUAGAUAGCAACUUUCAGCAGUGGAUGUCUAGGCUCGCACAUCGAUGAAGAACGCUGCGAACUGCGAUACGUAAUGCGAAUUGCAGGAUUCAGUGAGUCAUCGAAAUUUUGAACGCAUAUUGCACUUCCGGGUUAGUCCUGGAAGUAUGCCUGUAUCAGUGUCCGUACAUUAAACUUGACUUUCUUCCUUCCGUGUAGUCGGUGGAGGAGAUGUCAGAUGUGAAGUGUCUUGCGAUUGGUCUUCGGACCGGCUGCGAGUCCUUUUAAAUGUACUAAACUGAACUUCUCUUUGCUCGAAAAGUGGUGGCGUUGCUGGUUGUGAAGGCUGCUAUUGUGGCAAAUUGGCGACUGGUUUGUCUGCUGCGGCAUUAAUGGAAGAGUGUUCGAUUCGUGGUAUGGUUGGCUUCGGCUGAACAAUGCACUUAUUGGACGUUUUUCCUGCUGUGGCGUGAUGGACUGGUGAACCAUAGCUCGGUGGCUUGGCUUUUGAAUUGGCUUUUGCUGUUGCGAAGUAGGGUGGCAGCUUCGGUUGUCGAGGGUCGAUCCAUUUGGGAACUUAAUGUGUACUUCGGUAUGCAUCUCAA
This is a ribosomal RNA of 804 nucleotides. The stretch from base 230 to 384 matches the Rfam family "5.8S ribosomal RNA".